RNAcentral lists this ribosomal RNA (353 nucleotides) under uncultured Desulfovibrio sp. RNAcentral's name for it is "bacterial SSU rRNA". It matches the Rfam family "Bacterial small subunit ribosomal RNA", at positions 1029 to 1382 of the family's 1533-position model. Lineage: Bacteria; Pseudomonadati; Thermodesulfobacteriota; Desulfovibrionia; Desulfovibrionales; Desulfovibrionaceae. The record is from RNAcentral.
CCGAGACAGGUGCUGCAUGGCUGUCGUCAGCUCGUGCCGUGAGGUGUUGGGUUAAGUCCCGCAACGAGCGCAACCCUAUUGCCAGUUGCUACCAGGUAAUGCUGGGCACUCUGGUGAGACUGCCCCGGUUAACGGGGAGGAAGGUGGGGACGACGUCAAGUCAUCAUGGCCCUUACGCCUAGGGCUACACACGUACUACAAUGGCGCAUACAAAGGGCAGCGAUACCGCGAGGUGGAGCCAAUCCCAAAAAGUGCGUCCCAGUCCGGAUUGCAGUCUGCAACUCGACUGCAUGAAGUUGGAAUCGCUAGUAAUUCGAGAUCAGCAUGCUCGGGUGAAUGCGUUCCCGGGCCUU